Molecule: long non-coding RNA, 1681 nt
Filed under: Vitis vinifera (wine grape)
Lineage: Eukaryota; Viridiplantae; Streptophyta; Magnoliopsida; Vitales; Vitaceae
Description: long non-coding RNA (VVIN_LNC003489)
Source: RNAcentral
ACAUUUACACAUUUAUGUGUAUUUUUCUAAUUAAUAAUACAUACACUGGUGUGCAUGCAUGUGUACAUACAUUCACAUGUUUAUGCAUACACAUGCCUACUCAUGUUUAUGUUUUGUGAUGAGCAAUAAGACCUUGCGUUGUGCAUAAAAGACAUAUAUACAUCUCCUUUGUAGAUUAAGUUUAAAACCUAUACCAGUAUCCCCAGUUAGGGCUGUAGGCUAGAUGUCGUUACUUGAGAUAUUCAUUUUAUCAUUAUACUUUUGUCUUCUUUUCCAUGCAACUUUUUCUCUCUCUCCUCCUCUCUUUCUAAGAAUUCUCUAUUCUUGCAACACUCUUUCUCCUUUUUCUCUGCCCCAGCUUUGCCCUCAAAUUUGAUCCUGCACAUCUCUAACAGUUAAUCAAUUGCCACCAAAGCUACCCUAUAUAUUGCUCCUAUUACAAGCCUCUACUAAGAAUCCUCCUUUCAAUCAUUGAUUUUACUGAUGGAUUAGCCACCAUAAUUUGUGACUAUCAAGAAAAAGGUGUUAUAUAAACUGUGAGUAUUAUAGUGCCAUUGGGGAGAGAUGUUUUGUUAUUAGUGUUGUAGUUAUUAUGGCUCAAUGUCAUUGUAAUUGAGUUAAGUUACAGCAUGUUGGCAUUAAGAUGUUUACUUGGCUAGGGAGCGGGAUCCAGGAGUUUUCACAUAGAUCCUAAGCACCUCCAGUGGUAGGCUCAGCAGCCUCCCAUUACCUAGUCUUUAUGAUGAUUCAAGAGUCUUCACUUAUCUAGAGUUAGAGGAUUGCUGAAGUGGGCACAAAGAGCUGUGUUGGGCCUGCUAUGGUUGGGUUAAGAGAAGAGAGACCUGCUUCUUUCCUUUGGCCAAAUAAUAGCCUAUCUUGGUGAUGCAUGGACUGAUUUGUGGGUGCUGCUACUAACAGCGCCUGUAACUCUUGGAUGUUGGCUAAGCGGGUAGACUGGAAAGCCAAGUAUUGGUUUUGGCAGGUGAUCUCACUAGCUGGCAUCUAGCUAUCCCCUAUAAUCCCUAAUCCCAUAUAUGUAAACCUAUCUAUUCCUCAAAUAAGCAAUAAUUUGUCUAAGCCUCUUAUCAAAUAUAAUGACAUUGAAAACAAAUACACUACAUGUGUAAAGUUGAACUUAAAAAAUAUAUUUUUGAAGUUUGAGAUUCAAGAAAUCAUUUCCAAGUCCUUAAAUAAAAAUAAAAAUAAAAAUAGAGCAAUAAAAAUUAAAAAACAAAGUUGAGUUAGAUACAGAUGGAUUAGAGUACUGGCUUGGAUUGUCUGGAAAGAGAAAGAAGAGUAUGAUAUAAUCGGCUUCAUCAGAAAAUGAAAGCCUCAGUUUCAUAGUCCUGACUUUUAAAUCAUUUUGUUGUAAAAACUAGAAGUUCUUUGUUUGAAAAUGAGGCACUAAUCCAAGUUCACUCAGUACAUUAGAAUGGCCAUGUAAGUUAUAAAGUGAAGCUAAAACAUAGACCCACAGAGCCCGAGAACAGAGGGUAAAGAUUUUCUUGUGAACUCACCAUGCUGUAUCAUUCAACAUACCAUGCCUAAUAAUCUCAAUCUCCAGUACACACCCCACAGAAAUACCUAUUUUUCUCUUGAACCAUUGGAGAGACUAAAGUUUGGAUUGCAAGUUGCAACUUGACAAAGAUGCAGCCAGAGAAGAUAUAAAGAAGAUGUGGAC